GACAUCUGUACGAUACUUCCAUUUGUACUGGUAUAUAAGACACGAGUUGUGCUAGUCUUAGUAUCUCAUCUUAGGAUGGAUCGGUAUUCCUUCAUAGGAAUCUCCUAAAGUCUUCUUGCCGUUCACCACUAACCCACAGACUGUAACCCUUAUAUCGCGACCAGUCUCCUUGCCUCCUUCAUAUUCUUAACAGGUUAUGAGCCCCGGCUCACGCUAGUAGCUUACAUAGCUAGCGCGAAGAAGGCAUAGGACGCCUGCAAGCAAUUACAGUUGGACUUUUACGUUUGGGAGUAGGACACAUUAUCAGUGAUUCUGAGCGGGCACAGACUUUGCUUGUUGGUUUGCCCAGCC
This 351-nucleotide long non-coding RNA is filed under the name Volvox carteri. RNAcentral's name for it is "long non-coding RNA (VCAR_LNC001876)". Lineage: Eukaryota; Viridiplantae; Chlorophyta; Chlorophyceae; Chlamydomonadales; Volvocaceae. The record is from RNAcentral.